This 620-nucleotide ribosomal RNA is filed under the name Dyella sp. So1Ps_705. RNAcentral's name for it is "bacterial SSU rRNA". It matches the Rfam family "Bacterial small subunit ribosomal RNA", at positions 395 to 1006 of the family's 1533-position model. Lineage: Bacteria; Pseudomonadati; Pseudomonadota; Gammaproteobacteria; Lysobacterales; Rhodanobacteraceae. The record is from RNAcentral.
UGCCGCGUGUGUGAAGAAGGCCUUCGGGUUGUAAAGCACUUUUAUCAGGAGCGAAAUACUACUGGCUAAUAAUCGGUGGGGCUGACGGUACCUGAGGAAUAACCACCGGCUAACUUCGUGCCAUCAGCCGCGGUAAUACUAAGGGUGCAAGCGUUAAUCGGAAUUACUGGGCGUAAAGCGUGCGUAGGCGGUUUGUUAAGUCUGUUGUGAAAUCCCCGGGCUCAACCUGGGAAUGGCAAUGGAUACUGGCAAGCUUGAGUGUGAUAAAGGAUGGUGGAAUUCCCGGUGUAGCGGUGAAAUGCGUAAAGAUCGGGAGGAACAUCAUUGGCGAAGGCGGCCAUCUGGAUCAACACUGACGCUGAGGCACGAAAGCGUGGGGAGCAAACAGGAUUAAAUACCCUGGUAGUCCACGCCCUAAACGAUGCUAACUGGAUGUUGGUCUCAACUCGGAGAUCACUGUCGAAGCUAACGCGUUAAGUUCGCCGCCUGGGGAGUACUGUCGCAAGACUGAAACUCAAAGGAAUUGACGGGGGCCCGCACAAGCGGUGGAGUAUGUGGUUUAAUUCCAUGCAACGCGAAUAACCUUACCUGGACUUGACAUGUCUGGAAUCCUGCGGAGA